AAGCUCGUAGUUGAAUUUCGGGGUUAGUAGGUUGGUCAUGCCUCUGGUAUGUACUGGUCUCACUGAUUCCUCCUUCCUUAUGAACCGUAAUGCCAUUAAUUUAGUGUUGCGGGGAAUUUGGACUGUUACUUUGAAAAAAUUAGAGUGUUUAAAGCAAGCUAACGCUUGAAUACAUUAGCAUGGAAUAAUGAAGUAGGACGUUCGAUCUUAUUUUGUUGGUUUCUAGGAUUGACGUAAUGAUUAAUAGGGAUAGUUGGG
This 258-nucleotide ribosomal RNA is filed under the name uncultured Glomus. RNAcentral describes it as "partial 18S ribosomal RNA". It matches the Rfam family "Eukaryotic small subunit ribosomal RNA", at positions 624 to 886 of the family's 1831-position model. Lineage: Eukaryota; Fungi; Glomeromycota; Glomeromycetes; Glomerales; Glomeraceae. The record is from RNAcentral.